AGUGAACGCUGGCGGUAGGCCUAACACAUGCAAGUCGAACGGCAGCACAGUAAGAGCUUGCUCUUACGGGUGGCGAGUGGCGGACGGGUGAGGAAUACAUCGGAAUCUACUUUUUCGUGGGGGAUAACGUAGGGAAACUUACGCUAAUACCGCAUACGACCUACGGGUGAAAGCAGGGGAUCUUCGGACCUUGCGCGAUUGAAUGAGCCGAUGUCGGAUUAGCUAGUUGGCGGGGUAAAGGCCCACCAAGGCGACGAUCCGUAGCUGGUCUGAGAGGAUGAUCCGCCACACUGGAACUGAGACACGGCCCAGACUCCUACGGGAGGCAGGAGUGGAGAAUAGUGGAAAAUGGGCGAAAGCCUGAUACAGCCAUACCGCGUGGGAGGAGAAGGCCUUCGGGUUGUAAAGCCCUUUUGUUGGGAAAGAAAAGCAGCAGGUUAAUACCCCGCUGUUCUGACGGUACCCAAAGAAUAAGCACCGGCUAACUUCG
Molecule: ribosomal RNA, 490 nt
Filed under: uncultured bacterium
Lineage: Bacteria
Description: partial 16S ribosomal RNA
Rfam family: Bacterial small subunit ribosomal RNA
Source: RNAcentral